UAAUUUUUUUGCAUCCUCUACUCUCUCUCAUUUUCUAUUAUCAGAGCUCUUCAAAAAUGGCGAUUCAUUGAAUAUCGAGUGAUUUCGAGUCAUUUUCAUAGCAAACAGAUACUUAACAGGUUAUGUAAUUCGUGUGUGUGGUUUUGAUCCAUAUCUUGUGGUGUUUUGUGAGAUUUGCAUCCAAAUCUGGUAACUGGUUGUUCAAUACGGCGGUUUUGUUACAAGAGAUCAUUACCAUGUUUGCGAACAUCACGAGGAAAUAUGUGAAGAACCCCGUUCGAAGUUUUAGGGUUGAAGAAUGUGAUACUAAUAAGUUUUGAGGCUAUGUGGAAAAUUCGAAUCUAGGCCAGCAGAGCUCUUCUUGAUCUUGAAUUCAGUUAGGCACUGAUGCUGCAUUGUCAUUGUUCCUAAGUUAUUUGAUGGAAGAGGUGUCUUUGCAAGGUGAAGUUGGUUGUCCAUGCAAUGUGUCUGUGUCAGUUACGGCUCGCAUCUGAGUCUGAAGAUGAUAUUAAGGGUCCUACCCUCCUGGCUUUGCUUUGUAUGCUUGAAAGUCGUAAAGCCUUUAAUAAUGUCUUCCUUCGGCAUCACUUAUUUUGCAUCUUACAACUGGCUGUAGGGAGGUGUAUAAAGAUCAAUGUAAUCAGACACUUUUCUGCCCACAAAAGUGUGCCACCUCAUAGAGACGACACGUCAGCAAGAUGCCCACCACGUCACAGAGACGCCACGUCAACAAAAUGCCCAACACGUCAAUGAUAGCCUAACUGCAGUUAACAUUUGGUUGAGUUAAGAGUGAGGGUAUUUUGGGAAUAACUAACCCCGUUUUCUUACAAAACUGUUAUGUCGGAUGAUGUAUGAUCAAUUUAUAACCGAUUUAUAAAAUAUGAUCAUUUCGUAACU
This is a long non-coding RNA of Papaver somniferum (opium poppy), 897 nucleotides long. RefSeq lists it as uncharacterized. Lineage: Eukaryota; Viridiplantae; Streptophyta; Magnoliopsida; Ranunculales; Papaveraceae. The record is from RefSeq and is a predicted model, not a curated record. The transcript has 5 exons.